AGUGAACGCUGGCGGUAGGCCUAACACAUGCAAGUCGAACGGCAGCACAGUAAGAGCUUGCUCUUACGGGUGGCGAGUGGCGGACGGGUGAGGAAUACAUCGGAAUCUACUUUUUCGUGGGGGAUAACGUAGGGAAACUUACGCUAAUACCGCAUACGACCUACGGGUGAAAGCAGGGGAUCUUCGGACCUUGCGCGAUUGAAUGAGCCGAUGUCGGAUUAGCUAGUUGGCGGGGUAAAGGCCCACCAAGGCGACGAUCCGUAGCUGGUCUGAGAGGAUGAUCAGCCACACUGGAACUGAGACACGGUCCAGACUCCGACGGGAGGCAGCAGUGGGGAAUAUUGGACAAUGGGCGCAAGCCUGAUCCAGCCAUACCGCGUGGGUGAAGAAGGCCUUCGGGUUGUAAAGCCCUUUUGUUGGGAAAGAAAAGCAGCAGGUUAAUACCCCGCUGUUCUGACGGUACCCAAAGAAUAAGCACCGGCUAACUUUGUG
Molecule: ribosomal RNA, 492 nt
Filed under: uncultured bacterium
Lineage: Bacteria
Description: partial 16S ribosomal RNA
Rfam family: Bacterial small subunit ribosomal RNA
Source: RNAcentral